UAAAAAUCAAAAGAUAAUAAAACACUAAAUUUUUUUAAAAUUUUGAAGAUCAUGUAUUUAAAUGUAACUAAACUAAGAGAAUACCUUCUUGAGUUUACAAUUCUGCCUCUGCUUACAAAUUCACACAACUUAAAAAAAUAAAUGAAAUAAAUGUAAAUCCAAACUAGAGACUCCACCUAUAGAACUACAUAAACUAUGAAUUCAUUAAAGUUCACUUGUGGAACUAAAAUGCCAAAAUCAAAACAUCAAGUGGAAUAGACUGAAAUUCCUCCUCAGAGUUUGAAUAGCAUGGAAGAGAUCUGUCUGACAGACAGCCCAAGGAUUUUGCAAUUCAUUCCACUGAAAUAAGUAUUGCUGGAGUUAUUAAAUAAAACUUACAUCAUAUGCAAUUCUCCACGUGCUAUGCAACUGAAUCUUGUGUGUUGACCUUAUAAUUUCCAAAAUUUGAAAGAAUUAUAUUGACAAAUUUGCAGAAAGGUUAUAAAAGAUAUGAACAGACAAUUUGAAAUCCAUUUCUUUUGGUUCGCUCUCAGCAGCUUUGGAAGAAUACAAAUUAGUAUUAUAUGGAAGUGGAAGAAUCACCUUAUUGAUUCUUGAUUUCAUCGAUACUCGCAUCCUGUGAGCUGUUGCAUCCAACUAUAGCUUCAGUUGCAGAACCCGGUGUAUGAUAUGAGGAUGAUUUACCAUUCUUACCAUGCAAUCCCGAAUAGCGAGCAAGAUCAACCCAUUGCUGCAGCAUGCAAAGCAAAAGAAAAUUAACCUCGUUCUAAAGAAAACAAUUUAUUCAAAGACAAUUGCUAUUGUCAGUUAUGCUGGGUGUUGGUCUCAGCAGAAAAGGGAGAACCGAGACAGGGUCAUGUUACGUAGACACAACAUUACUAAAAAAGACAAAAAUAAAAUAAAGUUGUACCAAAAAAUAUAACAAUAAAUAAAGGAUUCAAAAGCAAAAUCAUUGUUGGUUGUGAUGGUGAGGACUCAUAAAAAAUGCUGGGACUGGAUAAUGGUACUGCACCAUGCGGUGUAGUCCAUUAAUUAACCUCAAGAAGCAGUUACUCACUAAGGGAAACCAAGCUCUGCUACAAUACUGCAUGCUAAUAGAGAUGGACGAAAUACAUCCCCUCAUUUUAUAUAAGUUUCAUCGUCUCAAAUCUCAAUAGCGGCAUUUCUCUUCAGAUCAGUAUGUACAAAUACUAAUCAUCUUUGACUAUAGCUUUCCAAGAAAAUGUAUUACUUUAAAUAAUCUUUCAAAAUAGUUUAUAUAUAAGUAAAGUCAUAACAUCUAGCUAUGCUUAUGCUAGAACUUGCAGCAAAUUGGGAGGGCUCUAACCUGUGUUCCCCAGUAGGAGUUUAUAGUCCGAGCAACAAAUGAUAGCAUAUUUACAAGUAAUAUCUGAGAUGCAAAUGCAUCAGAAAUCCGAUGCUCAACUACACCAGCAAUCAUCUGGUAACGCAGAUUUGCUGAAAUUCCAAGGAAGCAUCCAUAAACAACUGCUGUUUUAAGUAUUGGUGAUCUUCUAGUUCGUUGAUUAGUAACCAAUGCUGGGUUAAUCAUUUUGCGAAUUGCAUACAACAUAUUCGAGGCAGCCACAGCCCCAAUACUGGAGAUAAAUCCAACACAAGAAAGUUUCAGACCACCCAAAAGCACUGAUGCAAAUCUGUGACUAAGAUUCCAGUCCUUCCCUGGGAGAUUCUUUUGAAAUGCAUUAUCAGGGAUGGACCCAAGAAGACCCUUCAAAACAUCCAUGCUGUCAGGCCCAUUCGUCUCAUCAGCAUAUGAAAGGAAUGACAGAGUUGGGGCAGGAAGCCACACAGUAAAAAAAUCAACCACCGAUCCUCUGGCAGUGUCUGUAAUUACAUAAUCAAGCUCUUCAAAGAAAUUUUCUUUACGCCUUUCAUACUGUGCUAAGAGAGUAGUGGUUAUUGAUAUGGCUUCUUCUAUAGCUAAUCUAUGCAAGAAUUUGGGAUCUGCCAACAGUCUUUCCCUGAAACCUCUGCACCAAAAAUAGCUGUGGUCAAGUUGAGCAUCUCUACAAUUUCACCUUCCCUACCAUCAACUAUUCUUUUCCAUAGCAUCACUUAUUGAACAAAAGAUGAGGCUCUACUUGCACAAUGAAAGGUUUUCGCUAAGCAUGCACAGUAAUCUCAUGCUGGACAAUUUUUCACUUCCAGAAAGCAAGCAUACCUCGAAACUAUGACCAAGUUCCUUAAGCAGAGGAUAUUGCUCUAGAUUGAAGAAAUUCUGUAGUACCUCCGGUAAUACUAAAUCAAGAUUAAGUCCUUCCUGAAUGUCCUGGGGUAGGGCAUCUUGCCUCCUGCCAGCUGCAUUCAUUACUCGAGCAAUUUCUACUGCAGGAUGUGGCAGCAGAAUACCACACAAAAAUCAGCAACAGGAACUUCUCCCUCUCUUCGAAUGAAUUGCCUUUCAGGAUCAAGUAAUAUAACUACUUGGUUCUUCUCUUGUAUCUUUUUGGAAAUUCUAGCUGGCAGCCCAGUACCUUUUGAUCCAUACAUAAAAUGGCUUGCACCUGUCACCAAUACAAGCAUAUUGGUGGCUCCUCCAUCAAACAUUGCUUGUAAAAUAAUUUGGGACAUAGUGUAAUCCUCAACUACUCUUGCUUGUGCAGACAAAUAGGAGCUUGGCCCAAAAGGAACAGAUUGAUUUGGAGAGUUCACAUCAAUUGACCUGCGUGAAAUUGAAGUGAAUCCUGAGAUAAAGCCUGAACCAGCUGGAGGAGCAUACAGUUUACGGUCAGCCAUUGAAAGCCCACGAAUACCUUCAGCUUGGACUGUCCGUAUAACCUUGAGUGGAGUACCACAAGCAACAAUCCUAACUCCAUUAUCACGACAAUAACUCAAAAGAGGUUCAUAUUCUUGCCAUCUUUGAGGCGGCCAAUGUGAUAAAUAAGACUUCAAGGUUUCUCCAUCUAUGCUUCUGUUCAUGUAUUGAUUGAGCUGCUGCUGCAAGUCACAAGGGAAUGCCUCCAUGGCUAAAGAAAUGGAUUUCUCCCUCUCAACGCAUCGUUUCCUCAAAUUCUCAACAAUUUCGAGCUCCAAUUCCUUAUCGUCUUUUACAGGCACUUGCUCCGCUUCACCUAGAUACACAAUCCUCGCAUUCAUUAGCUUCUCCCACAUUUUCCUCUUGUCCUUCCCCAACGCCAUCGGCUCUCCUAUCGCCGCCGCGUCAUAAAUCCUUGAACUUAUCUCCGCUGUUGCUGCCGCAGUCACCGCCUUCUCCUCAGCUUCCACCAGCAGCGGCUGAGUAGGAGGAGAAAAUGAAGAUUCCGGAGACUUGUUGACGUCUGCAGCUUUCGACGUGGCGGAUUGGAGGACAGACGCGCCGAGAGCAAGGAGUGGAGUAAGCAACACGCGGCGCCGGCUUGCGGUUUGAGUUUGACCAUCGGCGGGUGAUUCGGGGGCACAUUGGCGGCGGGAACGGAUAGAGAGGGAAACGUGGCGCGGUAACUUUCUGGAGGGAAAU
This 3478-nucleotide unclassified non-coding RNA is filed under the name Hevea brasiliensis (rubber tree). The record is from RNAcentral. Lineage: Eukaryota; Viridiplantae; Streptophyta; Magnoliopsida; Malpighiales; Euphorbiaceae.